This 405-nucleotide ribosomal RNA is filed under the name Triticum aestivum (bread wheat). RNAcentral's name for it is "partial small subunit ribosomal RNA". Lineage: Eukaryota; Viridiplantae; Streptophyta; Magnoliopsida; Poales; Poaceae. The record is from RNAcentral.
AUGUCGACGGUGACCCCUGCCUACCUCGACCAGAGGCUCGCCGCAGCCAAGCGCUGCUCCAGAGAACUAUGGAAAGGAUUUGUGGAUGAGUUGAUAAAAUCACAAAGAGGAGCUAUUGAUAAUUAUUUUGAGAAUGCCAUUGACGCUUGGACGAAUAUAGAGUUUGUGACAGUAGCUAUGGAUGGGCGAGCUAAUGGAAUACAGGGAGAAAAUGUGAAUCUGGCGAGCGUGAGGAUGCUGCCGUGGGCGAGGGCGCACCUCAACCCCACCGGGCAGGCCCUCAUCAUCUCCACCGUCGCCGGGAUGGCCUACUUCAUCGUCGCCGACAAGACCAUCCUCUCCAUGGCCAGGAAGCACUCCUUCGACGACGCGCCGGACCACCUCAAGAACACAUCCUUCCACUAA